This 622-nucleotide long non-coding RNA is filed under the name Mytilus galloprovincialis (Mediterranean mussel). The record is from RNAcentral. Lineage: Eukaryota; Metazoa; Mollusca; Bivalvia; Mytilida; Mytilidae.
AUACAAAGAAUCAUACAAUGAAAACAGUAAAAAAAGCUUGUUUAAGAAUUGUAUGUGUUUAAAUUAUGGUGAAAAUAUACAAAUUACAUUAUUAAUACAAUGUGUUCUUAUUGAUGUUGUCCUAUACAUCAUUAAUACAAUGUGUUCUUAUUGAUGAUGUCCUAUAAUACAAUAUGUUCUUAUUGAUGAUGUCCUAUAAUACAAUAUGUUCUUAUUGAUGAUGUCCUAUAAUACAAUGUGUUCUUAUUGAUGAUGUCCUAUAAUACAAUGUGUUCUUAUUGAUGAUGUCCUAUAAUACACUGUGUUCCUAUUGAUGAUGUCCUAUAAUACAAUGUGUUCCUAUUGAUGAGCGGGAUUAAACGUUUUAAUGGUAUCAAACCUUCUUCCGUUUAUGAAACAAUAGUAUAACAUCACAACAUAGAAAAACAUACUAUAAAAUAUCAUUUGGAAGGCUUAACGUAAUCAAAAAACUCAAAUUAGCACACAAUGAACGAAUUAAUUUGAUCUGUGAUAUCUGACUGCAAUACAUAGUUAAUAAAAAAUAAUACGGGCUAAAUAAUUAAGGCCAAAAGUAAAAAAAACCCAGGUUAAAACAAAUUUAAAGUAUGAUAUCACUGUGAAA